ACGAUAAAGAGGGUGAGAGACCCUCUCGCCGAAAGACCAAGGGUUCCUGCUUAAAGUUAAUCUGAGCAGGGUUAGCCGGCCCCUAAGACGAGGCGGACACGCGUAGUCGAUGGGAACCACGUUAAUAUUCGUGGGCCUGGUGGUAGUGACGGAUUGCACAAGUUGUUCUGGUUUAUUGGAUUAUCAGGGCAGCGGAGCGGUUCCAGGAAAUAGCUCCACCGUAUAGACCGUACCCGAAACCGACACAGGUGGUC
This 254-nucleotide ribosomal RNA is filed under the name Pseudomonas sp. BG5. Its description in RNAcentral is "Pseudomonas sp. BGM005 partial 23S ribosomal RNA". It matches the Rfam family "Bacterial large subunit ribosomal RNA", at positions 1309 to 1668 of the family's 2925-position model. Lineage: Bacteria; Pseudomonadati; Pseudomonadota; Gammaproteobacteria; Pseudomonadales; Pseudomonadaceae. The record is from RNAcentral.